This 502-nucleotide ribosomal RNA is filed under the name uncultured bacterium. RNAcentral describes it as "partial 16S ribosomal RNA". It matches the Rfam family "Bacterial small subunit ribosomal RNA", at positions 30 to 523 of the family's 1533-position model. The record is from RNAcentral.
AUUGAACGCUGGCGGCAGGCUUAACACAUGCAAGUCGAGCGGGGUGAUGGAGCUUGCACUAUCACUUAGCGGCGGACGGGUGAGUAAUGCUAGGAAUCUGCCUAUUAGUGGGGGACAACAUCUCGAAAGGGAUGCUAAUACCGCAUACGUCCUACGGGAGAAAGCAGGGGAUCACUUGUGACCUUGCGCUAAUAGAUGAGCCUAAGUCGGAUUAGCUAGUUGGUGGGGUAAAGGCCUACCAAGGCGACGAUCUGUAGCGGGUCUGAGAGGAUGAUCCGCCACACUGGGACUGAGACACGGCCCAGACUCCUACGGGAGGCAGCAGUGGGGAAUAUUGGACAAUGGGGGGAACCCUGAUCCAGCCAUGCCGCGUGUGUGAAGAAGGCCUUGUGGUUGUAAAGCACUUUAAGCGAGGAGGAGGCUCUUUUGGUUAAUACCCAAGAUGAGUGGACGUUACUCGCAGAAUAAGCUCCGGCUAACUCUGUGCCAGCAGCCGCAGUAA